AGAAUGAACGCUGGCGGCAUGCCUAACACAUGCAAGUCGAACGAAGGCUUCGGCCUUAGUGGCGCACGGGUGCGUAACGCGUGGGAAUCUGCCCCUCGGUUCGGAAUAACAGCGAGAAAUUGCUGCUAAUACCGGAUGAUGACGUAAGUCCAAAGAUUUAUCGCCGAGGGAUGAGCCCGCGUAGGAUUAGCUAGUUGGUGUGGUAAAAGCGCACCAAGGCGACGAUCCUUAGCUGGUCUGAGAGGAUGAUCAGCCACACUGGGACUGAGACACGGCCCAGACUCCUACGGGAGGCAGCAGUGGGGAAUAUUGGACAAUGGGCGAAAGCCUGAUCCAGCAAUGCCGCGUGAGUGAUGAAGGCCUUAGGGUUGUAAAGCUCUUUACCCGGGAUGAUAAUGACAGUACCGGGAGAAUAAGCUCCGGCUAACUCCGCGCCAGCAGCCGC
Molecule: ribosomal RNA, 445 nt
Filed under: uncultured bacterium
Lineage: Bacteria
Description: SSU rRNA
Rfam family: Bacterial small subunit ribosomal RNA
Source: RNAcentral